UGGGGAAUAUUGGACAAUGGGGGCAACCCUGAUCCAGCCAUGCCGCGUGUGUGAAGAAGGCUCUCGGGUUGUAAAGCACUUUCAGCGGGGAGGAAAAGCAGUACGUUAAUAGCGUAUUGUGUUGACGUUACCUGCAGAAGAAGCACCGGCAAACUCCGUGCCAGCAGCCGCGGUAAUACGGAGGGUGCGAGCGUUAAUCGGAAUUACUGGGCGUAAAGCGCGCGUAGGCGGUCUGGCAAGCCGGAUGUGAAAUCCCCGGGCUCAACCCGGGACCUGCAUCCGGAACUGCCAGGCUAGAGUACGGUAGAGGUGAGUGGAAUUUCCCGUGUAGCGGUGAAAUGCGUAGAUAUGGGAAGGAACAUCAGUGGCGAAGGCGGCUCACUGGACUGAUACUGACGCUGAGGUGCGAAAGCGUGGGGAGCAAACAGGAUUAGAUACCCCCGUAGUCC
This 449-nucleotide ribosomal RNA is filed under the name uncultured prokaryote. RNAcentral's name for it is "bacterial SSU rRNA". It matches the Rfam family "Bacterial small subunit ribosomal RNA", at positions 355 to 796 of the family's 1533-position model. The record is from RNAcentral.